UUGGUUAAGUCCCGCAACGAGCGCAACCCCUAUUGUUAGUUGCCAUCAUUCAGUUGGGCACUCUAGCGAGACUGCCGGUAAUAAACCGGAGGAAGGUGGGGAUGACGUCAAAUCAUCAUGCCCCUUAUGACCUGGGCUACACACGUGCUACAAUGGUUGGUACAACGAGUUGCGAGUCGGUGACGGCGAGCUAAUCUCUUAAAGCCAAUCUCAGUUCGGAUUGUAGGCUGCAACUCGCCUACAUGAAGUCGGAAUCGCUAGUAAUCGCGGAUCAGCACGCCCGCGGUCGAAUACGUUCCCGGGCCUU
RNAcentral lists this ribosomal RNA (307 nucleotides) under uncultured Streptococcus sp. Its description in RNAcentral is "bacterial SSU rRNA". It matches the Rfam family "Bacterial small subunit ribosomal RNA", at positions 1076 to 1382 of the family's 1533-position model. Lineage: Bacteria; Bacillati; Bacillota; Bacilli; Lactobacillales; Streptococcaceae. The record is from RNAcentral.